UACGUAGGGGGCAAGCGUUAUCCGGAUUUACUGGGCGUAAAGCGCGUUCAGGCGGCCGGCAAAGUUAGAGGUGAAAUCUCACGGCUCAACUGUGAAACUGCCUUUAAUACUUGUCGGCUAGAGUGCGAGAAAGGAAAGUGGAAUUCCCGGUGUAGUAGUGAAAUGCGUAGAUAUCGGGAGGAACACCAGUGGCGAAGGCGGCUUUCUGGCUCGCAACUGACGCUGUAGCGCGAAAGCGUGGGGAGCGAACGGG
This 253-nucleotide ribosomal RNA is filed under the name uncultured organism. RNAcentral describes it as "partial 16S ribosomal RNA". It matches the Rfam family "Bacterial small subunit ribosomal RNA", at positions 524 to 776 of the family's 1533-position model. The record is from RNAcentral.